RNAcentral lists this non-coding RNA (21 nucleotides) under Caenorhabditis elegans. Lineage: Eukaryota; Metazoa; Nematoda; Chromadorea; Rhabditida; Rhabditidae. The record is from RNAcentral.
UCAUCAAAUUAUAAAUUUCGC